GGGGUUGUGGCUCAGUGGCAGAGUGCUUGCCUCGCACAUAAGAGGCACGGGGUUCGAUCCUCAGCACCA
RNAcentral lists this transfer RNA (69 nucleotides) under Marmota monax (woodchuck). It matches the Rfam family "tRNA". Rfam says of the family: Transfer RNA (tRNA) molecules are approximately 80 nucleotides in length. Their secondary structure includes four short double-helical elements and three loops (D, anti-codon, and T loops). Lineage: Eukaryota; Metazoa; Chordata; Mammalia; Rodentia; Sciuridae. The record is from Rfam by way of RNAcentral.